Molecule: transfer RNA, 67 nt
Filed under: Heteronitis castelnaui
Lineage: Eukaryota; Metazoa; Arthropoda; Insecta; Coleoptera; Scarabaeidae
Description: tRNA-Asn
Source: RNAcentral
UUAAUUGAAACCAAAAAGGAGGUCUAUCACUGUUAAUGAUAAAAUUGGAUUAAAAAUCCCAAUUAAA